RNAcentral lists this long non-coding RNA (272 nucleotides) under Manihot esculenta (cassava). Its description in RNAcentral is "long non-coding RNA (MESC_LNC011524)". Lineage: Eukaryota; Viridiplantae; Streptophyta; Magnoliopsida; Malpighiales; Euphorbiaceae. The record is from RNAcentral.
AAGGGAAUCCUCCUGUUCUCAUCUUUGUUUAUUGUUUAACUAAUUAAUAGUGGUAAUCUUAUACUACAUGAUAUCCGAAUAAUGCUUUUAUAAUCAAGAAUUGGCUUUUAUAGAGCUUUAUUAGCUAACACAACGUCUCUAUCAGUUAGUUCCAAUUUAAUUGUUUGAAUAUCAUGUGAAGGUCUAGUAACUUUGUAUUAGCUCCAUACUACUAUGUGUUUUGUAUUUUGAUAUUGCUAAAUGAACUUGCACUUAGUAUGUCAACUAUUACU